RNAcentral lists this ribosomal RNA (245 nucleotides) under uncultured bacterium. RNAcentral's name for it is "partial 16S ribosomal RNA". It matches the Rfam family "Bacterial small subunit ribosomal RNA", at positions 524 to 767 of the family's 1533-position model. The record is from RNAcentral.
UACGGAGGGUGCGAGCGUUGUUCGGAAUCAUUGGGCGUAAAGAGCGUGUAGGUGGCUGAAUAAGUCAGGUGUGAAAUCCCUUGGCUCAACCAAGGAAGCGCAUCUGAAACUGUUUGGCUUGAGUACGGGAGGGGAAUGGCGGAAUUCCCAGUGUAGAGGUGAAAUUCAUAGAUAUUGGGAGGAACACCGGUGGCGAAGGCGGCCUUCUAGCCCGAUACUGACACUGAGACGCGAAAGCGUGGGGA